RNAcentral lists this long non-coding RNA (3352 nucleotides) under Numida meleagris (helmeted guineafowl). RNAcentral describes it as "lncRNA (ENSNMEG00000014167.1)". The record is from RNAcentral. Lineage: Eukaryota; Metazoa; Chordata; Aves; Galliformes; Numididae.
GCCCGCGCCCUCCGCGUCCGCGCGGGGCCCGGAUGUGGGUGCCCGGAGGGGUCGCGGCGCGCUGGGAUACCUCGCGGUCGGGAGGUGGGCUGCGGCCCGCUGUGCCCUGCUCUGCCCUGCCCUGCCCUGCCCUGCCCUGCCUUGCCCACGCGGGGCGUCGUACUGGAUGCGACGGGCCGGGGGCACCGGGGGACGGCUGGCGGGGAGGGCUGAGCAGUGCGGCCGCGGCACGUGGUGCUUCGCAGCCGAAGAACGUGAAUGGGCUGAGAAGUGCCUGGGAGGCGUCACCCGCAGAGCACCCCCAGUGCUGCCCCGCCGGCCGUUGCCCAUCCCAGCUCCAGCAGCAGCCUUGUGCUGGGUGGUUGCUGUGGACAAUGCAGUUUGGAGAACUGUCCUGGCAUCGUCAUUUUGUUGCGCUGCUGACACCUGGAUGGGAGCGAGCGCACACCCUCAUCUUCCUGCCUGGUUUCCUCCCAUCACAAGUUCUGCUCUUGGGUGGCCCCAAGGCAUUCCCACACUGGUCUGUGACAUCCUCCUCUGGAUUCUCUCCAAGCAGCCCAAAGGGCAGUGUCCAGGCGUCGCUGCCUCCCCCACUGCUCCCUGUGCCUCCAGACCCUGCCAGCGCCCGCCAGCGUCCCCUGCUCCACAUGAUUCCGCAGCGCUGCUGUUCCUUUCCCCCCACAUUCAUCUCUUCCUUCUUUCUCCCCAUUUCUUGUUUAUGCAAUUGCUUCUUUGUGCUGAAGUGCCGAUGGCAUUUAUCUAUACCGCACGGCAUCCUCUUCCCUGGGACCAUUUCUCUAAUUUGUCAGCAGCAGAGGUGUGGAGGAACAGUUUGUGAUGAGGAGCCGGCCUUCCGAUAUGCUUCCCAUCCUCCCUGUCUUCAUAUUUUGUCUGCAGGUUUAAAAAGCCAGUCCUGCUUCCCUUUAUCUCACCUGCUGGUAGCCGCAGCCUGGCAGCGCUUAUCUGAGCUGGGAACGGCGCUCGUUUUAUAGCAGGUUUAGGCAGAAUGUGAUCUGUAACUUGCUUAGGAUCCUGUUUUAUGAAAUGAUGUCAAAAGCCUUACAAGUAUCAAGAUUUAUACUGCCAUUCCAGACUGUCACAGCGGCAGUUGCCAUUGGCGUGCCGUGGCCUGGCCCUUAGCAGCCAUGCCAGCACAUGGGAGCUGCGACCGGACACGAGGACAAGGUUUUUCCCAUGAGGGCUGUGUUCUGGAUGCUUUCACUUGCUGUCCCAUCUCACACUGGCAGCUUGACAGGGAAAUCCCCCAUCCCCACCACAUCCUGGCUUUGGCCAUGGCUCCGGCACAGCCCCCUCCACGUGCUCUGUAGCUGUUGUGGUCGCACAGCAGCCAGGUUCUCCCUGGAGUGCAGAACAAAUGUCUGCAUCCUUAAUAUACAAAGCAACACAUUCCUCCUUAAUCCCCUGCCUGUCUUUCCAGAACAAGCUUCAUCCUCCGAUAUUAAUAUUCCAGUCAUGUGGCUGAGCCCACCAAGCCUUUGUUAUGCCAAUUAAAUCAUAAUCUUGAUCAUGCAUUAAGACUUCCAGCUUCUUUUGUUUAUGCCUGCCAGCACACCGAUGUGGAAGCCACUCGGCAGCCUCACCCCUGUCCCCAGUGUCCCCAAGGGCUGUGUCCGAAAUGCCUCCUCCCAUACUGCAGGCGGCUCCUUCAGUGCUGGCACCAGCCAGGUCUUGCCUUGGCCCUGGGGAUGUGGGUGGCUGUGGCCGUGGCUUGGUGGCACAGCUCUUUGUUCUCUUGCCCCAUGCCCACAGUGAGGCCAAACUUUGGGGUUCUGAGGUGGGAGCCCCACAGCUGAUCCCGCCCCCGCAGCACCGGGUGGAUAGGGACACUUCUGGAGGGCACCCAGUGCAGCCUCCCACUCCCACGGGGCUGCCUGGAGUGGGCAGUUUGGGUCACAGCGGCCGGUGGCACUGAAGCAUUCUGUGUGAUGAAGUGGGAAGGUGGGAUUAGCGCUGCACAUGUUCCCUUGGUGCAAUUGAUGCUAAGCAGAGUGAGGCUGCCCUGAGUGCUGGGCUGGGAGAGUGAAGGUGAGGAGUCAGCAUCAGCUCUCGGAUGCCAUCUUCCUUCCUGAAGGGGCCCCAAGCGGUACUGAAGAUCCGAAGGUGGAUCGGGACAGGGGUGAUGCUGCUCUGUCCCUUAAUCUUGGACCUGGGAGGGGACCCAGGGAGGUAGGGGCGUCCUUGGCACCUGGGGGGACCUCUGUGCUGACCACAGAGCACCGAGCCCAGUGGCUGGCAUGGCCCCAUCCCACAGCAGCUCCCCGCUCUGUGUUAUCCCGUCCUGCGGGGCUGAGGCAUAACCACUCCGGAGCAGCUGAGUUACUUCUCAUUACCCAGAGGCAAGCAAUCUCUCAGCAGAACCCAGGGAAAUCAAUAGUGUGAAGGAAAAUUAGCUCAUUAAACAGCCAUAAACACAAAAGCGAGGAUCACUCACAUCCUACCACUGCAUCCAUACAGACGUCUGCUCGGCUUCCUGGACCUGGCGGGAAGGAAAGCUGCUGGCGGGCAGACCCGGGAAGCCGUGAGCCCUGUCCUCGCCCCACCGAGUGCAGGCUGUGUCCUGGGGGUCCUGGGGCAGCCCGGCAGCACGUGCACCGGCCCCAUCCCACCCAACGGGCAUCGUCCUCCACCAUGAGGAGUCCAGAGCUGCUCUCACCCUGCCCAACACCUCGCUUUGGCUGCACAAUGCUGCUGUGACAGGCCGGCACACCAAGCGACACACGGGGCCCUCCUGGGGCCGGGAGCUGCUUUCUCCCUGCGCAGAGGCUGGGAGAGCUGCCGGCAUCGCCAUCAUCACACAGCUCCGCCGCGUGCCUGCGCCAGCCCGGGGCUGUCCCUGCCUCCCCCAGAAGGGGCUGGGGGAGAAGAGCUGCCGGUUGUUUAGCCCGACGGCAAGGGCAGCGCGUGUCAGCGCAUUGCGGGCCCUUGCUGCUGCCGGGCUCUGCCACCAGCUGUGUAAAGCAGAACAAACCCAUGCUGCGACCUGCAUCAGCAGCAGCUGGCAGCAAACCCCUUUUGGGAUGUGUGGUGUGCAGGGGCCGGCAGUGGGGCUGGGCUCCAUCCUCGGGGGUUUCAGAUCCAAACUGGACAAAGUCUGAAUGCCCGGUGCCAUUGCUGACCCCAGAUGAGAGAUGCUGGGGUGCUCCAGCCCAGAUUGCCACCAUCCUCCCAACCAGAGCCUCCGAGACGGAGCAGGGCAGAGAAUCAUGAGGGAAUAUUUCGGGUCUUGUGUCUUACUGCAGCAAUCCUGUUACUGAGAGGAGAGUUUCCAGAUGUGAAAGCAAAACUUAUUUUCGUGUUCCUUUAUGCAAUAAAACAGCUUGCUCCUUUUGCA